Molecule: long non-coding RNA, 592 nt
Organism: Polypterus senegalus (gray bichir)
Lineage: Eukaryota; Metazoa; Chordata; Cladistia; Polypteriformes; Polypteridae
Exons: 4
Source: RefSeq, a predicted model, not a curated record
CCUGGAGCAAUGUGGCUAUAUUGGAAUCACUUGGAAUUACAGAAAAUGACUCUGUCCACAUCAUCUUGUCCUCAGAGUCUAUCUCAAACCUAGCUUCUAAUAUGCAAAAUUUUCAUGCUAAUAUUACACCAGUUGUGCAUCAGACUCCAAAAGGACUGAGCAUGUUCUUUUCAUCAUUUCUUACGGUGAAUUUACAUAAUAUUGGGCAGAAAUUUUUAAAGUCAUUGCCUUAAUUCGUCGACUAACUGGCUGUCAUGUAUUGGCCCAGGCUUUAUAUCAGAUUGUGUGCAAAAUGAACUACUGAGUAAAUCACAAAAGAUUGCUGUCAUGGAAUGUCUGUACAUACUUUUUAGGGAAAUACUUAGUGACCUUACAAGAAACACUGGAAGAUCAAUGGAAGAUGGAGAAGUUUUUGAAAAUUCUAAUGUUUGCUGGGCACUUCUGAUUGGAACAUCACAGAAUGAAAGCAUUAUGCAUGAGGUGUAUGCUCCUAUGAGCCUUGUGUGUAACAGUUCUCAUAUGCGCUUUUCUGAACCAGUACGUGUUCCUGGAAUCACAACUGUGUAUGAAAAAGAGUAUGUCCGGAAGACAA